CCAGCACCCGCGGUAAUUCCAGCUCCAAUAGCGUAUAUUAAAGUUGUUGCAGUUAAAAAGCUCGUAGUUGGACUUGUGCAUGCCUCUUAGCUGUCCACAUUGUUUGGUAAGCUGUGGGCCAUGCAUGCUUGGGUGUAUCCUGUGUGGCAUUAGGUUGUCGUGCAGGGGAUGUCCAUCAUUUACUGUGAAAAAAUUAGAGUGUUCAAAGCAGGCUUAGGCCGUUGAAUAUAUUAGCAUGGAAUAAUAACAUAGGACCUUGGUACUAUUUUGUUGGUAUGCGCACUGAGGUAAUUAUUAACAGGGACAGUUGGGGGUAUUCGAAUUCCAUUGUCAGAGGUGAAAUUCUUGGAUUUCUGGAAGACGCACUACUGCGAAAGCAUUUACCAAGGAUGUUUUCAUUAAUCAAGAACGAAAGU
Molecule: ribosomal RNA, 416 nt
Filed under: uncultured Surirella
Lineage: Eukaryota; Bacillariophyta; Bacillariophyceae; Surirellales; Surirellaceae
Description: SSU rRNA
Rfam family: Eukaryotic small subunit ribosomal RNA
Source: RNAcentral